CAAAGGUUGAAAUGUUGUUAGAUUUCUAACCACUGCCAUUUGUUUCUUACAGCACGUGUUGGAGAGGAGGGGAGACUCUAUGAGCCAUCAAGUGCCUUCACAAUUAACAGUCCACAGUGUGGUCAGAAGCAGUUUAUUUUGGCUUGGCUGUGAGGAGAAGGGAUAUGUGUAAAGGAUCAGUUUCAUUGUAAAGAACACACUUAAAGUUGAGGUGGGAGUGAGUGGCUAAGAGUGGGAACCUCUUCAAUUGGCUUUGUGACAUGUCCUGAGCAACCUGCUCUAGGUGUCCCUGCUUGAGCAGACGGGUGGAUCAGAUGACCUCCAGAGACCCCAUGUCAGAGCUGGAGCCGGCCCUUCACAUGAACAGCCAAACCAGACUUCAGUUCCAGGUGAGAGCACUUCUUGCUACUUUGCUCUGUUGAUUAGUUCUUUGUCUGA
RNAcentral lists this long non-coding RNA (438 nucleotides) under Anser brachyrhynchus (Pink-footed goose). RNAcentral's name for it is "lncRNA (ENSABRG00000022400.1)". Lineage: Eukaryota; Metazoa; Chordata; Aves; Anseriformes; Anatidae. The record is from RNAcentral.